Molecule: microRNA, 22 nt
Filed under: Homo sapiens (human)
Lineage: Eukaryota; Metazoa; Chordata; Mammalia; Primates; Hominidae
Description: hsa-miR-7852-3p
Source: miRBase by way of RNAcentral
UAUGUAGUAGUCAAAGGCAUUU